Molecule: ribosomal RNA, 427 nt
Filed under: uncultured bacterium
Lineage: Bacteria
Description: bacterial SSU rRNA
Rfam family: Bacterial small subunit ribosomal RNA
Source: RNAcentral
UUUCGAAUCCUUCACAAUGGGCGAAAGCCUGAUGGUGCGACGCCGCGUGAGGGAUGAAGGCCUUCGGGUUGUAAACCUCUGUCACCGGGGAAGAAACGCUGCAUUUUAAUAGAAUGCAGCCUGACUUAACCCGGAGAGGAAGCAGUGGCUAACUCUGUGCCAGCAGCCGCGGUAAUACAGAGACUGCGAGCGUUAUUCGGAUUCACUGGGCGUAAAGGGUGCGCAGGCGGCCGAGUGUGUGAGGCGUGAAAGCCCGGGGCUUAACCCCGGAAUUGCACCUCAAACUACACGGCUAGAGCAUUGGAGAGGGUAGCAGAAUUCAUGGUGUAGCAGUGAAAUGCGUAGAUAUCAUGAGGAAUACCAGAGGCGAAGGCGGCUACCUGGACAAUUGCUGACGCUCAGGCACGAAAGCGUGGGGAGCAAAAGG